RNAcentral lists this ribosomal RNA (504 nucleotides) under uncultured bacterium. RNAcentral's name for it is "partial 16S ribosomal RNA". It matches the Rfam family "Bacterial small subunit ribosomal RNA", at positions 28 to 523 of the family's 1533-position model. The record is from RNAcentral.
GAUAAACGCUAGCGGCAGGCUUAACACAUGCAAGUCGAGGGGCAGCAUAGAUUGUAGCAAUACAAUUGGUGGCGACCGGCGCACGGGUGAGUAACGCGUAUGCAACCUGCCCGUCACAGGGGGAUAAUCCGGAGAAAUCUGGUCUAAUACCCCAUAACAUAUGGAUCGGCAUCGGUUCAUGUUGAAAUUUUCGGAGGUGACGGAUGGGCAUGCGUAGCAUUAGCUUGUUGGUGAGGUAACGGCUCACCAAGGCGACGAUGCUUAGGGGGACUGAGAGGUUAUCCCCCCACACUGGUACUGAGACACGGACCAGACUCCUACGGGAGGCAGUAGUGAGGAAUAUUGGUCAAUGGGCGCAAGCCUGAACCAGCCAUGCCGCGUGCAGGAUGACGGCUCUAUGAGUUGUAAACUGCUUUUGUACGAGGGUAAAGUGGGUUACGUGUAACCUUUUGAAAGUAUCGUACGAAUAAGGAUCGGCUAACUCCGUGCCAGCCGCCGCAGUAA